GUGGUGAUAAAGGCCCACGCUAUAGAAAUCUUGUUUCGAGAUCAAUGUGUAAACACCAGAAGGCAUAUCUAUAAAUGAACAAAAUGUUUGCUUUCUUUGAUAAUAUACUUUUUAGAAGGUAUUAGUUCGUACGACAAUUACAGGAUUGAAAGUAAUCGGUAGGCCUAUAUCAUUCUCAAAACUACACCAAAUACUGAUAAAGCAUUUGCUUUUGGCUGAAGAAUGCAAAUCUUAACGGCAUUCAUAUUUUGGAGUCUCUUUGGUGUUGUGGUUGCUGAAACACUGGAUACAGGCUCAAUAUUGGCUAUUUUUUUUGGAAUCCUUGUAUUGUGUUUCAUAAUAGCUAUCUCUGUUCUGGCUAUUAAAUACAAUAAAAAAAAGAAAGACGCCAUAAAAAAUUAUGAAGAGGCUGUAGCAUUGAAGAUACAAAUGUCAAUUAAUCAAGCACUAGAGAUGAUAGGACAAAAGAUCGAAAAUCGGAACGUAGUUUAAUUAUUACUAUAUAUAUAUAUAUAUAUAUAUAUAUAUAUAUAUAUAUAUAUAUAUAUAGAGAGAGAGAGAGAGAGAGAGAGAGAGAGAGAGAGAGACUAAAUCUUCAGAAUCAAAGACAUUGUCAUUAUAUAUAUAUAUAUAUAGAGAGAGAGAGAGAGAGAAAGAGAGAGAGAGACUAAAUCUUCAGAAUCAAAGACAUUGUCAAUAUAUAUAUAUAUAUAU
Molecule: long non-coding RNA, 714 nt
Organism: Biomphalaria glabrata
Lineage: Eukaryota; Metazoa; Mollusca; Gastropoda; Planorbidae
Exons: 3
Source: RefSeq, a predicted model, not a curated record